GACGAACGCUGGCGGCGUGCUUAACACAUGCAAGUCGAGCGGUAAGGCCCUUUCGGGGGUACACGAGCGGCGAACGGGUGAGUAACACGUGGGUGACCUGCCCUUAGCUCUGGGAUAAGCCUGGGAAACUGGGUCUAAUACCGGAUAUGACUCCAUGACGCAUGUUGUGGGGUGGAAAGCCUUGUGCGGCUAGGGAUGGGCCCGCGGCCUAUCAGCUUGUUGGUGGGGUGAUGGCCUACCAAGGCGACGACGGGUAGCCGGCCUGAGAGGGCGACCGGCCACACUGGGACUGAGACACGGCCCAGACUCCUACGGGAGGCAGCAGUGGGGAAUCCUGCGCAAUGGGCGAAAGCCUGACGCAGCGACGCCGCGUGGGGAUGACGGCCU
This 387-nucleotide ribosomal RNA is filed under the name uncultured bacterium. RNAcentral's name for it is "bacterial SSU rRNA". It matches the Rfam family "Bacterial small subunit ribosomal RNA", at positions 28 to 417 of the family's 1533-position model. The record is from RNAcentral.